Molecule: ribosomal RNA, 495 nt
Filed under: uncultured bacterium
Lineage: Bacteria
Description: partial 16S ribosomal RNA
Rfam family: Bacterial small subunit ribosomal RNA
Source: RNAcentral
GACGAACGCUGGCGGCGUGCCUAAUACAUGCAAGUAGAACGCUGAAGGAGGAGCUUGCUUCUCUGGAUGAGUUGCGAACGGGUGAGUAACGCGUAGGUAACCUGCCUGGUAGCGGGGGAUAACUAUUGGAAACGAUAGCUAAUACCGCAUAAUAGUAGAUGUUGCAUGACAUUUGCUUAAAAGGUGCAAUUGCAUCACUACCAGAUGGACCUGCGUUGUAUUAGCUAGUUGGUGGGGUAACGGCUCACCAAGGCGACGAUACAUAGCCGACCUGAGAGGGUGAUCGGCCACACUGGGACUGAGACACGGCCCAGACGCCUACGGGAGGCAGCAGUAGGGAAUCUUCGGCAAGGGACGGAAGUCUGACCGAGCAACGCCGCGUGAGUGAAGAAGGUUUUCGGAUCGUAAAGCUCGGUUGUAAGAGAAGAACGAGUGUGAGAGUGGAAAGUUCACACUGUGACGGUAGCUUACCAGAAAGGGACGGCUAACUACGUG